Molecule: ribosomal RNA, 467 nt
Filed under: uncultured bacterium
Lineage: Bacteria
Description: partial 16S ribosomal RNA
Rfam family: Bacterial small subunit ribosomal RNA
Source: RNAcentral
GACGAACGCUGGCGGCGUGCUUAACACAUGCAAGUCGAACGGAAAGGCCCUGCUUUUGUGGGGUGCUCGAGUGGCGAACGGGUGAGUACACGUGAGUAACCUGCCCUUGACUUUGGGAUAACUUCAGGGAACUGGGGCUAAUACCGGAUAGGAGCUCCUGCUGCAUGGUGGGGGUUGGAAAGUUUCGGCGGUUGGGGAUGGACUCGCGGCUUAUCAGCUUGUUGGUGGGGUAGUGGCUUACCAAGGCUUUGACGGGUAGCCGGCCUGAGAGGGUGACCGGCCACAUUGGGACUGAGAUACGGCCCAGACUCCUACGGGAGGCAGCAGUGGGGAAUAUUGCACAAUGGUCGGAAGCCUGAUGCAGCAACGCCGCGUGCGGGAUGACGGCCUUCGGGUUGUAAACCGCUUUCGCCUGUGACGAAGCGUGAGUGACGGUAAUGGGUAAAGAAGCACCGGCUAACUACGUG